Non-coding RNA from Pogona vitticeps (central bearded dragon), 839 nucleotides. The record is from RefSeq and is a predicted model, not a curated record. NCBI's taxonomy places the organism in Eukaryota, Metazoa, Chordata, Lepidosauria, Squamata, Agamidae.
UCAUGGGAUAGGUGGAAAACAAUGUAUACCCAAUGAGAGCUAGCUCCUCGUCCUGCUCCUCAUGCAUCACCUGUCUCCGGGCGGAAGCCUAUCCCUUUGGAAGGCUGGCUGGGGCAAGAACGGCUGUUUCCCCCACCCCCUUUCUACCUGUCGAGUGACUGACAAGUUGCCCUCCAAGCCCCACCCAUGGCUCGUCUCUGCGCACGCGCGAGAUCCAAUCACCGGCUCGCUCUCCCUCUCGCGCAUGCGCUCCUCUUUCUCACCGUGGGAGGGGCUAGCCAGUGGGGCGCCUGCGUAGUUGAGGAGGCGGCGGGAACGUUUCGCCUCGGGAAGGCGGUUGGGCGAGAAUUAGGAGCCUCUUCUGUGGCCUUUGAGGAGCUGACCCGGUAUUGACCCCUAAUAGAGCUUGGGAUCUUCUGGAUCGAGGCUUGAGAUCUCUGCACGAGGACCUCCUGCUGGAGAUUUCUGGCAACAACGUCUCUCCAGGUUUCUGCCACCUCUACUGCUGGAAAAAGGCUCCUUCCCAUUUCCAGGCCUCCAGAGAAGACCCCCCGGUGACACGUGUGGCAUGACGAUGAACAGGAGAAUUGCCAAGCAACAUCCAGAAAAACCUGGGCAGGAACUCGCAAUCAAGCAAGAAAACAGAGAACUGAAAAUAGGAAUGGGCAGGCAUGGACUUUACAUGAAAGGACUGAUGCAGGAGAGAAACCACGUAAAUGCAUGUCACCUCAGUAGACAUCAAAGAACACAUGCAGGGGAGAAAAUGUAUCCAUGUAUGGAAUGUGGAAAGAGCUUUAGUCAGAGUGGUACCCUUAGGUUACAUCAAAGGACCCACACUG